This 465-nucleotide ribosomal RNA is filed under the name uncultured bacterium. RNAcentral's name for it is "partial 16S ribosomal RNA". It matches the Rfam family "Bacterial small subunit ribosomal RNA", at positions 28 to 507 of the family's 1533-position model. The record is from RNAcentral.
GACGAACGCUGGCGGCGUGCCUAACACAUGCAAGUCGAACGGAAAGGCCCUGCUUGCAUUGUACUCUAGUGGCGAACGGGCGAGUAACACGUGGGUGAUCUGCCCUUCACUUCGGGAUAAGCCUGGUAAACUGGGUCUAGUACCGGAUAGGAGCCACUUUUGGUGUUAUGGUUGGAAAGUUUUUUCGGUGUAGGAUGAGCUCGCGGGCUAUCUGCUUGUUGGUGGGUUAAUGGCCUACCAAGGCGGCGACGGGUAGCCGGACUGAGAGGGUGGCCGGCCACAUUGGGACUGAGAUGCGGCACAGGCACCUACGGGAGGAAGAAGUGGGGAAGAUUGAACAAUGGGCGCAAGGCUGAUGCAGAGGGGCCGCGGGGGGGAUGACGGCCUUCGGGUUGAAAAAUCCUUUCGCUAGGGACGAAGCUUUUUGUGACGGUACCUAGAUAAGAAGCAACGGCUAACUACGUG